UAGGGAAUCUUCGGCAAUGGACGAAAGUCUGACCGAGCAACGCCGCGUGAGUGAAGAAGGUUUUCGGAUCGUAAAACUCUGUUGUUAGAGAAGAACAAGGACGUUAGUAACUGAACGUCCCCUGACGGUAUCUAACCAGAAAGCCACGGCUAACUACGUGCCAGCAGCCGCGGUAAUACGUAGGUGGCAAGCGUUGUCCGGAUUUAUUGGGCGUAAAGCGAGCGCAGGCGGUUUAUUAAGUCUGAUGUGAAAGCCCCCGGCUCAACCGGGGAGGGUCAUUGGAAACUGGGAGACUUGAGUGCAGAAGAGGGGAGUGGAAUUCCAUGUGUAGCGGUGAAAUGCGUAGAAAUAUGGAGGAAAACCAGUGGCGAAGGCGGCUCUCUGGUCAGUAACUGACGCUGAGGCUCGAAAGCGUGGGGAGCAAACAGG
RNAcentral lists this ribosomal RNA (429 nucleotides) under Gemmatimonadota bacterium. RNAcentral's name for it is "Gemmatimonadetes bacterium partial 16S ribosomal RNA". It matches the Rfam family "Bacterial small subunit ribosomal RNA", at positions 355 to 776 of the family's 1533-position model. The record is from RNAcentral. Lineage: Bacteria; Pseudomonadati; Gemmatimonadota.